Molecule: ribosomal RNA, 484 nt
Filed under: uncultured bacterium
Lineage: Bacteria
Description: partial 16S ribosomal RNA
Rfam family: Bacterial small subunit ribosomal RNA
Source: RNAcentral
AUUGAACGCUGGCGGCAUGCUUUACACAUGCAAGUCGAACGGCAGCGCGGGCUUCGGCCUGGCGGCGAGUGGCGAACGGGUGAGUAAUGCAUCGGAACGUGCCCAGUAGUGGGGGAUAGCCCGGCGAAAGCCGGAUUAAUACCGCAUACGACCUGAGGGUGAAAGCGGGGGACCGAAAGGCCUCGCGCUAUUGGAGCGGCCGAUGUCGGAUUAGCUAGUUGGUGGGGUAAAGGCUUACCAAGGCGACGAUCCGUAGCUGGUCUGAGAGGACGACCAGCCACACUGGGACUGAGACACGGCCCAGACUCCUACGGGAGGCAGCAGUGGGGAAUUUUGGACAAUGGGGGCAACCCUGAUCCAGCCAUGCCGCGUGCGGGAAGAAGGCCUUCGGGUUGUAAACCGCUUUUGUUCGGGAAGAAAUCCUCUGGGCUAAUACCCCGGGGGGAUGACGGUAACGGAAGAAUAAGCACCGGCUAACUACGUG